GUCUUCGUGGCGCAGUUGGCUAGCGCGUCAGUCUCAUAUUCUCCAUAAAUAUGAUCCAAAUCACCAGUUUGGGCCAUCUGAAGGUCGUGAGUUCGAGCCUCACCGAGGACA
Trichoderma gamsii is the source of this 111-nucleotide non-coding RNA. The record is from Rfam. Lineage: Eukaryota; Fungi; Ascomycota; Sordariomycetes; Hypocreales; Hypocreaceae.